This 253-nucleotide ribosomal RNA is filed under the name uncultured bacterium. RNAcentral's name for it is "partial 16S ribosomal RNA". It matches the Rfam family "Bacterial small subunit ribosomal RNA", at positions 524 to 776 of the family's 1533-position model. The record is from RNAcentral.
UACGUAGGGAGCUAGCGUUGUUCGGAAUUACUGGGCGUAAAGCGCACGUAGGCGGCUUUGUAAGUUAGAGGUGAAAGCCCGGGGCUCAACCCCGGAAUUGCCUUUAAGACUGCAUCGCUUGAAUCCAGGAGAGGUGAGUGGAAUUCCGAGUGUAGAGGUGAAAUUCGUAGAUAUCAGGAGGAACAUCGGUGGCGAAGGCGGCUUCCUGGACAAUUACUGACGCUGAGACGCGAAGGCGUGGGGAGCAAACAGG